Molecule: unclassified non-coding RNA, 349 nt
Filed under: soil metagenome
Description: partial contains 5.8S ribosomal RNA, internal transcribed spacer 2, and large subunit ribosomal RNA
Rfam family: 5.8S ribosomal RNA (bases 1-120)
Source: RNAcentral
GAUGAAGAACGCAGCGAAAUGCGAUAAGUAAUGUGAAUUGCAGAAUUCAGUGAAUCAUCGAAUCUUUGAACGCACAUUGCGCCCGCCAGUAUUCUGGCGGGCAUGCCUGUUCGAGCGUCAUUACAACCCUCAGGCCCCCGGGCCUGGCGUUGGGGAUCGGCGGAGCCCCCCGUGGGCACACGCCGUCCCCCAAAUACAGUGGCGGUCCCGCCGCAGCUUCCAUCGCGUAGUAGCUAACACCUCGCGACUGGAGAGCGGCGCGGCCACGCCGUAAAACACCCAACUCUUCUGAAGUUGACCUCGAAUCAGGUAGGAAUACCCGCUGAACUUAAGCAUAUCAUAAGCGAGA